UGUCCAAUGCGGGAAUCGAACCCGGGUCGUAGUGGUCGAAAACCAAACGGUUUAACCAGCCUUCCACUUUCAUUGAAAUGAACUAAAAGGAG
Molecule: non-coding RNA, 92 nt
Organism: Cordylochernes scorpioides
Lineage: Eukaryota; Metazoa; Arthropoda; Arachnida; Pseudoscorpiones; Chernetidae
Source: the annotation of a GenBank genome assembly